Long non-coding RNA from Dermacentor silvarum, 1150 nucleotides. RefSeq lists it as uncharacterized. The record is from RefSeq and is a predicted model, not a curated record. The transcript has 3 exons. NCBI's taxonomy places the organism in Eukaryota, Metazoa, Arthropoda, Arachnida, Ixodida, Ixodidae.
UCGCUCAGAUGAUCAGAGGCCAGAAGUCUGCUAAACCUAGACCCUUAUUAUGAAAUCAUUAUCGGCGGCCUUCAGGUCAAUACAAUGCUGGGUACCGGCCAAACCAACAUCUUUCCAAGCGCACACAGUCGAGCCAUCCGCCUACCCCCACAAGCGACAACCAGGCUAUCAGCUUUGGCACUACAUCCACUAGGACAGUGCAGAAUUCAUACAACUGGUCUCGGAAAGGCUCAACCACCAGCCACUGCCCUUGCAAGUCAGCAUGACAGACCACACAAUUCCUUUGCAAGUCAGCAGCCUCGAUCAAUGUACUAGACUACUCCAAGGUUCCAAACAGCUGCUACGCAUUCUGCCAGCAGCAGCCAGAGUCCAAGUAAGGGUCGCGAGGACUGGUGCAAACGGAGCGAGCCCAGGGCUGUAACUUCUGUUGUGCCACGGCAGUCGUCAGACUACUAGACACUGGCAUCGGUUGACGUGAAGUCAACUGAUGCCAUAUGUCCGUAUCACUGGACAUAUGCCAAUGACAAACCACACAUGUCCCCCCCUUGCAGUAUCAGUUGACGUAGCAGCUGGCAAGAGCUGGACAACAGCUGGUCCAAAAGCACAUACAAGCCAUCGACUAGCAGUGCAGCUGACUUCUGGGAAAUUGGUGCAGGAGACACUGGGAAGCAGUUCUGGGCGUCAUUGCAGACCACAACUGCUGCCAGUGAGGCUAGCAGAGCAGUUUGGUGGGGGGCGAACUUAAAAUUUUGACGUGGGGCCAACUUAAAAUUUUGACGGGGGGCCAACUUAAAAUUUUGACGGGGGGCCAACUUAAAAUUUUGACGGGGGGCCAACUUAAAAUUUUGACGGGGGGCCAACUUAAAAUUUCGACGGGGGGCCAACUUAAAAUUUCGACGGGGGGCCAACUUAAAAUUUUGACGGGGGGCCAACUUAAAAUUUCGACGGGGGGCCAACUUAAAAUUUUGACGGGGGGCCAACUUAAAAUUUUGACGGGGGGCCAACUUAAAAUUUUGACGGGGGGCCAACUUAAAAUUUGGACGUGGGGCCAACUUAAAAUUUCUACGGGGGCUAAUUCUGCCAAACCUAGACCUUACGAAAGUCAUUAUCGGCAGCCUUCAGUUCAAUACAAUGCUGGGUACCAGCCAAA